RNAcentral lists this transfer RNA (64 nucleotides) under Camelus bactrianus (Bactrian camel). It matches the Rfam family "tRNA". From Rfam's summary of the family: Transfer RNA (tRNA) molecules are approximately 80 nucleotides in length. Lineage: Eukaryota; Metazoa; Chordata; Mammalia; Artiodactyla; Camelidae. The record is from Rfam by way of RNAcentral. RNAcentral also lists the same sequence under 2 other names.
GGUGUAGCUAAGUGGUAAAGUGUGUGCUUAGCAUGCAUGAGGCCAGGGUUUAAUCCCCAGUACC